AGUGAACGCUGGCGGUAGGCCUAACACAUGCAAGUCGAACGGCAGCACAGUAAGCGCUUGCUCUUACGGGUGGCGAGUGGCGGACGGGUGAGGAAUACAUCGGCAUCUACUUUUUCGUGGGGGAUAACGUAGGGAAACUUACGCUAAUACCGCAUACGACCUACGGGUGAAUGCAGAGGAUCUUCGGACCUUGCGCGAUUGAAUGAGCCGAUGUCGGAUUAGCUAGUUGGCGGGGUAAAGGCCCACCAAGGCGACGAUCCGUAGCUGGUCUGAGAGGAUGAUCAGCCACACUGGAACUGAGACACGGUCCAGACUCCUACGGGAGGCAGCAGUAGGGAAUAUUGGACAAUGGGCGCAAGCCUGAUCCAGCCAUGCCGCGUGAGUGAAGAAGGCCUUCGGGUUGUAAAGCCCUGUUGUUGGGAAAGAAAAGCAGCAGGUGAAUACCCCGCUGUUCUGACGGUACCCAAAGAAUAAGCACCGGCUAACUUCGUG
Molecule: ribosomal RNA, 492 nt
Filed under: uncultured bacterium
Lineage: Bacteria
Description: partial 16S ribosomal RNA
Rfam family: Bacterial small subunit ribosomal RNA
Source: RNAcentral